GACGAACGCUGGCGGCGUGCCUAAUACAUGCAAGUUGAGCGAUGAAGAUUGGUGCUUGCACCAAUUUGAAGAGCAGCGAACGGGUGAGUAACGCGUGGGGAAUCUGCCUUUGAGCGGGGGACAACAUUUGGAAACGAAUGCUAAUACCGCAUAACAACUUUAAACAUAAGUUUUAAGUUUGAAAGAUGCAAUUGCAUCACUCAAAGAUGAUCCCGCGUUGUAUUAGCUAGUUGGUGAGGUAAAGGCUCACCAAGGCGAUGAUACAUAGCCGACCUGAGAGGGUGUUCGGCCACAUUGGGACUGAGACACGGCCCAAACUCCUACGGGAGGCAGCAGUAGGGAAUCUUCGGCAAUGGACGAAAGUCUGACCGAGCAACGCCGCGUGAGUGAAGAAGGGUUUCGGAUCGUAAAACUCUGUUGGUAGAGAAGAACGUUGGUGAGAGUGGAAAGCUCAUCAAGUGACGGUAACUACCCAGAAAGGGACGGCUAACUACGUG
This 497-nucleotide ribosomal RNA is filed under the name uncultured bacterium. Its description in RNAcentral is "partial 16S ribosomal RNA". It matches the Rfam family "Bacterial small subunit ribosomal RNA", at positions 28 to 507 of the family's 1533-position model. The record is from RNAcentral.